CUUUAAAAAAAAAAUCAAGCCUGAGCCUGCAGGGAGCUCUCGUAAACUGUGCCCUAGAAUCUGCCCUACUUGAAACCAGGAGGCUGGUUUUCUUAAUUCUGCUCUAGUCAGUCACUGCCUGGGGGCUGCCUGGACACUUCUGGGCAAGAAAAGUUUGGCAACUCCUGUCACAUAAAGGCAUACCUCUACGAAAGAUCACAAGUAUAGUUCUUGGCAGCAGCACCCACAGCCACUGGAAGAUGGGCACAUUUGCCCAGUAAAUGUGAUCAAUUCCACAGGUCUGAGUCAGGCAAAAAUAGUAUCUGCUACAGCUCAUGAUUCAGAGGCUGUGCACAGAAAUCCAGCUUUGGUCUGAACCAGCAUGGAAUGAAUAGGGUUGGAUUCCAUUUCUCUUACUCUAGAUAAUUGGAUAAUUGACCUUAAAACUCUCAUUUUAUUUUAUUUAUUUUAGGGCCACACCAAUGGCAUAUGGAGGUUCCCAGGCUAGGGGUCGAAUCAGAGCUGCAACCUCUGGCCUAUGCCACAGCCACAUCGGAUCCAAGCCAUUUCUGUGACCCAUAUCACAGCUCAUGGCAACGAUGAAUCCUUAACCCACUGAGCAAGGCCAGGGAUCGAACCCGCAACCUCAUGGUUCAUAGUGGGAUUCGUUAACCACUGAGCCACAACAGGAACUGUGAAUGACAAAAUUUUUCAUCAAAAGCACUGCAAAAAAAAAAAAAAAAUCUCUUUUAAGUGACAUGUCUAGUUUUCUUGUUAUGUUGGCCUGAAAUUAACUAAGCACAGAAUAUACAAAGAUAUGGAGAAUAAUGUCCUUAAACUUAUUUUUAGGUCCAUUCAUGUUGUCAAAUGUGGCAAGAUUUCACUUUUUUAUUUUUAUUUAAUUAAAAAAAAUUUUUUAAUUAACUUUGGUUUUUAGGGCUGCACCUACAGCAUAUGGAAGUUCCCAGGCUCUGGGAUGAGUCAGAGCUAUAGCUGCUGGCCUAUGAUACAGCCACAGCAACUCAGGAUCCAAGCUGAGUCUACAGCCAACACCACAAAUCCAGUGGCAACACUGGAUCCUUAACCCACUGAAUGAGGCCAGGGAUCAAACCUGAAUCCUCAGGGAUACUAGUCAGAUUCAUUUCUGCUGAGCCAUGACAGGAACUCUAAAACUUUCAUUUUAAUAGUUUAAGUUUGUUUUGUUUCCCAUCCCAAACAUAAUUCUAUAUUACGCACACACACAUGAUAAAAUUGAGCAUCUACCGUGUUUCAGACAGUGUGAUAUAUCUUAGGGAGGAAGUAAAACAUUGGGCCCUGCCAUCAUUAGGCCUACUGUCUAGGCCUACUGUCUAGAAGAGGCAGCAGAAUAAAUAUGAAAAGAAACAAAUUAAAAACUGCAAAUGUUUACGGAAGAUAAGUGCUGUAUAAACAAUGGCAAUAAAUGGAUACUGAGUUGGAGACAAUGGAGGGGGGGAAACAUAUGAUCCAGAUCCAUGCUGAACAUGUGGUCAAAUUUCUAAAUCUUUAGCUCUGAAUGUAAUAUCAAUUAAGAUACCUUAUUUUUCCCCAUUAACAUCCUCCUUAACUUUAAUCUAGUGAUCUGUGAAGGCCUGGCAGAGUGGUAAACAUUCAAGCCAAGACCUGGAGGUUGAGCAGGAACCAGUCAUGCAAACACUCCUGGGGAGAGUGGUCCAGGUAGAGAACAAAGAAGUGGGAAAAAGUGGAUCUAUUCUGAUUAAUAAGAUGAGACGAGAGGAAAGGCCUGGAGACCUUCUACUCCAUUGCAGGGAUCCCUGAAGCACUGUCUGGGAGCUCCAUGCCUCCUCAGAACACCAUAAGAACCAUCAUACUUCUAGUCACAGAUUCUAAAACUGGAUUGAAGAAAGUAACUGACUUUCUGUUCAGUUACCCUCAAGGACCACCCAACCAUCAUUUCUCAUUCUUGGAUCUGUAUACACUUUUCCUCUCAUCUCUUUCUCUCUCAAGUACUUGGAGAAAGCGUGGGAGAGGGAGGGCCUGGCUGCUUCACAGUUCCAACUAGAGGGCCCAUUUUAGAGAUGCCAGCAGGGGAUGGCAUAUGAAUCAACAGCGUGUUCCCUGCACACCCCCACGGUCCAGAUGGCUGCACAUCACAGGAGCAGAGGGUGGCUCCUACGCAGAAUACUUCCCUGCCUGGGAACACGUGCCACACUUUAGGCCAUGAGGGAACACAUUGUGGUAGUGGUGGUGACAUUUUUACAGAAAAGGAGUCUUUCUUUUGCUUCAGACUUUCAUUUCAAGCAUCCAUCUGUAGUAAAACCUAUAGUGUAAGAUACUGAGGGCUCAUAGAAUUGGAAAGCACCAUAGAAACUAGCUAGCACAGCUUCUUACAAGAUAGGGGGUUUCAGAUGAAUGAGCCCAUGGCCAAUGCAUCCAGAAAACUGCCCUAUACACAGGUGAACUUAGCUUCCCCAGUGGAACUGACAAACAUUUGACUUCCAGGCAUCACAGAUGAAGCCUUUAAAAAACCACCAUCCAUGUAGUCAAUCAGAGUUUCGGGGUUUCAGAUGGUGAACAAAACCUGCUGGGUCUGCUUGCAAACAAACCCUAAACCUGCUCAAAAUCCUCACCAUGUAGUCUUUCUCUGCAGCAGAUUCUGUGAAACUCUAGAAUGUUACAUUGCAUUUGCCUUUGUUAUUUUAUUAAAACUAGUGGAAAAACUGAAGCAAAAGGACUGACAUAAAUGACAACAAGCACAACAAGCCAAAGAAAUGAAACAGGUGGCACUAGUGCACAGCUCAAAAUGGCUUAUCUUUAGCAUGAAUCUAACACUUUAGCCAAGCAACUUAACCUGUUAAGUAUGAGGCUGCAUAACAAAAUUAUUAAUACCAUCAGAGACACCAAAUGACCGUGUCUAAAAAAAUAAAAUUUGAGAUUUCAGAACUUUUUUCACAUCUCCAGGAACAAUGGCCUCCUCCUCCUGUAAAAUAUAUAAAUGUAAUAACUGAUUUUUGGACAUCUGAAUUACAAACCACUUCUGCCUUUAUCAUCAACCAGCUGUGAAACAUCCGAUAGGAUGCUAGACCUCUCUGUGCCUCACAGUCUCAUCUGUAAAUAGCAACAAGGGCUGUACCCACCCCAUUUGUUAUGAAGAUGAAAUAAGUUAACAGGUAUAAAUUCUUGAACGUAGUUCAAUAAAUGCUGGAUAUUGAACAUUUAUUUAACAGUGUGACCUACUCCUCAUGACCAUCUGGAGUUCAGAGGGCAUUAAGACAAGCCAAAGCAGGAAGGGCAGGAAGCUGGGAAAGAGGCAUGCACCCUGGGAGGUGACAGGAAUGGUCCCAAGAAGAAGAUGCCUCUAGGAUGGCAGAUACUUCCUUGGACAAGUUUAACAGGCAAGAGGCAGCAUAGGCAGAAGGGUAGCGAUGGGUCACAAGUGGGGUUCAUUAACAGGCAGAGCUAGUCAAUGGGAGGCCCUGGCAGAGGCCUUGUCAAGCAAAUUGGCAGCAGGAGGAAACCCAGUAGC
This 3484-nucleotide long non-coding RNA is filed under the name Sus scrofa (pig). Its description in RNAcentral is "lncRNA (ENSSSCG00005024113.1)". Lineage: Eukaryota; Metazoa; Chordata; Mammalia; Artiodactyla; Suidae. The record is from RNAcentral.